GCGACUUUAGCUCAGCUGGUAGAGCGCGACCUUGCCAAGGUCGAGGUCACG
Gammaproteobacteria bacterium MedPE is the source of this 51-nucleotide non-coding RNA. The record is from Rfam. NCBI's taxonomy places the organism in Bacteria, Pseudomonadati, Pseudomonadota, Gammaproteobacteria.